CCAAUAGCGUAUAUUAAAGUUGUUGCAGUUAAAAAGCUCGUAGUUGAAUUUCGGGAUUGACACAUCGGUCGUGCCUUAAGGGGUAUGAACUGGUGUAGUCAAUUUCUCACCUUCUGGAGAACCGCGAUGCCCUUAAUUGGGUGUCACGGGGAACCAGGACCUUUACUUUGAAAAAAUUAGAGUGUUUAAAGCAGGCAUUUUGCUUGAAUACAUUAGCAUGGAAUAAUAAAAUAGGACGGCAUGGUUCUAUUUUGUUGGUUUCUAGGAUCACCGUAAUGAUUAAUAGGGAUAGUUGGGGGCAUUAGUAUUCAAUUGUCAGAGGUGAAAUUCUUGGAUUUAUUGAAGACUAACUACUGCGAAAGCAUUUGCCAAGGAUGUUUUCAUUAAUCAAGAACGAAAGUUAGGGGAUCGAAGACGAUCAGAUACCGUCGUAGUCUUAACCAUAAACUAUGCCGACUAGGAAUCAGACGAUGUUAAUUUUUUAAUGACUCGUUUGGCACCUUACG
RNAcentral lists this ribosomal RNA (506 nucleotides) under uncultured Glomeromycotina. RNAcentral describes it as "partial small subunit ribosomal RNA". It matches the Rfam family "Eukaryotic small subunit ribosomal RNA", at positions 591 to 1092 of the family's 1831-position model. Lineage: Eukaryota; Fungi; Glomeromycota. The record is from RNAcentral.